GACGAACCGUGCGAACGUUGUUCGGAAUCACUGGGCUUAAAGGGCGCGUAGGCGGGCCUCCAGGCCCGCGGUGAAAUCCCCCGGCUCAACCGGGGAAGUGCCGCGGGGACCGGAGGUCUCGAGUGGGGUAGGGGCGCGCGGAACUGUGGGUGGAGCGGUGAAAUGCGUUGAUAUCCACAGGAACUCCGGUGGCGAAGGCGGCGCGCUGGACCCUUACUGACGCUGAUGCGCGAAAGCCAGGGGAGCGAACGGG
Molecule: ribosomal RNA, 253 nt
Filed under: uncultured bacterium
Lineage: Bacteria
Description: partial 16S ribosomal RNA
Rfam family: Bacterial small subunit ribosomal RNA
Source: RNAcentral